Molecule: long non-coding RNA, 212 nt
Filed under: Bos taurus (domestic cattle)
Lineage: Eukaryota; Metazoa; Chordata; Mammalia; Artiodactyla; Bovidae
Description: long non-coding RNA NONBTAT022324
Source: RNAcentral
GGACUCUAAGAAAUACCUAUUAGGAAAGACGGUUUCAGGGCAAGAGACUCUGCAGCAUAAAUGAGGGUAAGAACAGGAAAUCUAAACUGAUGCUGUGCUUCAUUUCUAACUGUAAAUUGUAAGAUGGUGUGCUUGAUAACCUUGAAGGAUAUCAUUAUACAUUAGGCUCUCAGAGAAAGAAAGGAGAGGAAUGAUCAGAACAAUGUAUAACA